RNAcentral lists this ribosomal RNA (495 nucleotides) under Meyerozyma guilliermondii. RNAcentral describes it as "eukaryotic LSU rRNA". It matches the Rfam family "Eukaryotic large subunit ribosomal RNA", at positions 86 to 586 of the family's 3401-position model. The record is from RNAcentral. Lineage: Eukaryota; Fungi; Ascomycota; Pichiomycetes; Serinales; Debaryomycetaceae.
GCGGCGAGUGAAGCGGCAAAAGCUCAAAUUUGAAAUCUGGCGCCUUCGGUGUCCGAGUUGUAAUUUGAAGAUUGUAACCUUGGGGUUGGCUCUUGUCUAUGUUUCUUGGAACAGGACGUCACAGAGGGUGAGAAUCCCGUGCGAUGAGAUGCCCAAUUCUAUGUAAGGUGCUUUCGAAGAGUCGAGUUGUUUGGGAAUGCAGCUCUAAGUGGGUGGUAAAUUCCAUCUAAAGCUAAAUAUUGGCGAGAGACCGAUAGCGAACAAGUACAGUGAUGGAAAGAUGAAAAGAACUUUGAAAAGAGAGUGAAAAAGUACGUGAAAUUGUUGAAAGGGAAGGGUUUGAGAUCAGACUCGAUAUUUUGUGAGCCUUGCCUUCGUGGCGGGGUGACCCGCAGCUUAUCGGGCCAGCAUCGGUUUGGGCGGUAGGAUAAUGGCGUAGGAAUGUGACUUUACUUCGGUGAAGUGUUAUAGCCUGCGUUGAUGCUGCCUGCCUAG